UGAGGAAUAUUGGUCAAUGGACGCAAGUCUGAACCAGCCAAGCAGCGUGCAGGAUGACGGCCCUAUGGGUUGUAAACUGCUUUUAUAAGGGGAUAAAGUGGGGAACGUGUUCCCUUUUGCAGGUACCAUAUGAAUAAGGACCGGCUAAUUCCGUGCCAGCAGCCGCGGUAAUACGGAAGGUUCGGGCGUUAUCCGGAUUUAUUGGGUUUAAAGGGAGCGUAGGCCGUUUGGUAAGCGUGUUGUGAAAUGUAGGAGCUCAACUUCUAGAUUGCAGCGCGAACUGUCAGACUUGAGUGCGCACAACGUAGGCGGAAUUCAUGGUGUAGCGGUGAAAUGCUUAGAUAUCAUGAAGAACUCCGAUUGCGAAGGCAGCUUACGGGAGCGCAACUGACGCUGAAGCUCGAAGGUGCGGGUAUCGAACAGG
Molecule: ribosomal RNA, 424 nt
Filed under: Verrucomicrobiota bacterium
Lineage: Bacteria; Pseudomonadati; Verrucomicrobiota
Description: Verrucomicrobia bacterium partial 16S ribosomal RNA
Rfam family: Bacterial small subunit ribosomal RNA
Source: RNAcentral